This 468-nucleotide ribosomal RNA is filed under the name uncultured bacterium. RNAcentral describes it as "partial 16S ribosomal RNA". It matches the Rfam family "Bacterial small subunit ribosomal RNA", at positions 28 to 507 of the family's 1533-position model. The record is from RNAcentral.
GACGAACGCUGGCGGCGUGCUUAACACAUGCAAGUCGAACGGAAAGGCCCUGCUUUUGUGGGGUGCUCGAGUGGCGAACGGGUGAGUAACACGUGAGUAACCUGCCCUUGACUUUGGGAUAACUUCAGGAAACUGGGGCUAAUACCGGAUAGGAGCUCCUGCUGCAUGGUGGGGGUUGGAAAGUUUCGGCGGUUGGGGAUGGACUCGCGGCUUAUCAGCUUGUUGGUGGGGUAGUGGCUUACCAAGGCUUUGACGGGUAGCCGGCCUGAGAGGGCGACCGGCCACAUUGGGACUGAGAUACGGCCCAGACUCCUACGGGAGGCAGCAGUGGGGAAUAUUGCACAAUGGGCGGAAGCCUGAUGCAGCAACGCCGCGUGCGGGAUGACGGCCUUCGGGUUGUAAACCGCUUUCGCCUGUGACGAAGCGUGAGUGACGGUAAUGGGUAAAGAAGCACCGGCCAACUACGUG